CAAUAAUUUUGAUUGCUGAUACUGAUAAGGACAACGCCACUGAGGACGUUGUGGUUUGUAAUAUUGUUGGGUGUUGUAUGACUGUGCUGUUUUCUUUAACUUUUGCAGAUUCUCAAGGAUAUCAUUAGUCGUCGAAAAGACUGGAACCACUGAAGGGAAACACUAUGGACUAAUGGCAGUUCGACAAUGGAAAACUCAGUGGCGGCAAAAUAGACAGAACUGUAUCUCAGUUAAAGUUGACUCUAGUUCAGGAAUCCCAUUCCAGACAUCUGUAGGAUUGAACAACUCUUCACUUCCACUUGUAAAGUUCAAAACCUUCAGUUGAAUUACCAGUGCCACCACUUUUCCACCUGGUCCAGAAGAGAAACAAUAAAUAGCAUUGCUGGAUGUCCCUGCUCACAGAGCUACAGAUUCUAAGUGACCUGACCAUGUUCCUGAACUUUUGAAUGUUACUCCAAGGUAUUUAUGAGUUGGUCUGUUUGAGGAGUUUCCUAUACAGCUGCCAUCUGUAAUUCUUUCCCCUUUUUCCAAAAACCAAAAUUUUGAUCAUUUAUUUGGAGAUGUUCCUUGACACAAUAAGCAUCUAAGGCCCUUAAUAGUCUUUGCAUCCCCACCUAGGCAUAGGACAGGAGAAUAGCAUCAUCUGCAUACAAAACUACUAAUGUAUUCCUGUCAUUUAGAUGGGGUGGGAAAAGCUGGGGGCUGGAUAGGGAGGAUAACAUAUUGUUUAGAUAAAAUUUUAUUCUGUAUCCCUGGAUUUAGCAGGGCUCAAAGCACUCACUUUACUUAAGGGCAAGUUGUAAGUACAUAUUUAUUGGGGGAGGGAGUCUCCCAUUGGGAGCCUAUUUCCAGAAAAAAAUUGCUACUAGAGAUGGGGGCAUUUGUAUUUGAAUACGCAUAUUCCCACACAGCUGGAUUUAAUGAGUGUCUGGCCCCUGGGGCCGGACUAUCCACUCAUGCGUCUGGAAGCAGUCUUGCUCAUCCUUCCAAUCGCUCCCAGAUGCCACUCUCUUCCCACUUGUCUAGUCACUCCAAGCAGACGAGAGGGGAGAGCAGCACUCUGGGAGUGACUGGAAAGAUGAAUGGGGCUGCCGCCGGAUGCAUAAACAGAACAGCUAUGCAGGGAUAUUCGUAUCUGUAUACCCGCAUCUCUAAUAGCUGCCACCAGACUAAUCAGGUCAAACCCAACAGAAACUAAUGGGGAGAGGGAAAAACAGGAAGAUACAGGGGUAUGUUGUGCAUUAUGUACAUUCCAGAAUACAGUGGUGCCUUGCUUGACGACGUUAAUUCGUUCCAGCA
Molecule: non-coding RNA, 1299 nt
Organism: Pogona vitticeps (central bearded dragon)
Lineage: Eukaryota; Metazoa; Chordata; Lepidosauria; Squamata; Agamidae
Source: RefSeq, a predicted model, not a curated record